This 301-nucleotide ribosomal RNA is filed under the name uncultured bacterium. Its description in RNAcentral is "partial 16S ribosomal RNA". It matches the Rfam family "Bacterial small subunit ribosomal RNA", at positions 509 to 807 of the family's 1533-position model. The record is from RNAcentral.
CAGUCGCCGCGGGAAAACGUAGGUGGCAAGCGUUAUCCGGAAUUAUUGGGCGUAAAGCGCGCGUAGGCGGUUUUUUAAGUCUGAUGUGAAAGCCCACGGCUCAACCGUGGAGGGUCAUUGGAAACUGGAAAACUUGAGUGCAGAAGAGGAAAAUGGAAUUCCAUGUGUAGCGGUGAAAUGCGCUGAGAUAUGGAGGAACACCAGUGGCGAAGGCGACUUUCUGGUCUGUAACUGACGCUGAUGUGCGAAAGCGUGGGGAUCAAACAGGAUUAGAUACCCCUGUAGUCCCUGUCUCUUAUAC